RNAcentral lists this unclassified non-coding RNA (294 nucleotides) under uncultured Borreliella sp. Its description in RNAcentral is "partial 5S-23S intergenic spacer". The stretch from base 117 to 294 matches the Rfam family "Bacterial large subunit ribosomal RNA", at positions 1 to 186 of the family's 2925-position model. Lineage: Bacteria; Pseudomonadati; Spirochaetota; Spirochaetia; Spirochaetales; Borreliaceae. The record is from RNAcentral.
AAAACAUUCAAAUAAUAUAAAAAAUAAAAUAUAUAUUGACAUGGAUUAAACAAAGAUAUAUAUUAUUCUAUGUUGUAUAAACAAAUUGGCAAAAUAGAGAUGGAAGAUAAAAAUAUGGUCAAAGUAAUAAGAGUCUAUGGUGAAUGCCUAGGAGCUUUAAGGCGAAGAAGGUCGUGGUAAGCUGCGAAAAGCUUGGGGGAGAAGCAAACAUUUAUUGAUCCCAAGAUUACCGAAUGGAGUAAUCCAGCUAGCAAGAUGCUAGCUAUCUAUUAUUUAAAUAAUAGAGGCGAUACC